Long non-coding RNA from Cyclopterus lumpus (lumpfish), 2710 nucleotides. RefSeq lists it as uncharacterized. Lineage: Eukaryota; Metazoa; Chordata; Actinopteri; Perciformes; Cyclopteridae. The transcript has 2 exons. The record is from RefSeq and is a predicted model, not a curated record.
CUGAAGAUCCCGAGUGACGCGUCACCGCCGGGCAGAGCCGCCGUAUCGAAGGAAAGGAAAGUACGAGUCGUUCAUCAGCAGCUCGAGCGGUAAUCAAUCAGGUCUUUAUGUCUCCAAUUAAACUGAGCUGCGUGUCUUUGGACUGUGGGAGGAAGCCGGAGAACCCUGGAGGGAACCCACUCUGCCAUGGGGGAGAACGUGCAAGCUCCACACACAUGGGUCCGCCCCGACCGGGAUCCGAACCCCCGGGCCCCCCUCUUGCUGUGAGGCGACGGGGUUUGAAAUGCAACUCUGUCUGUGACCCGAUAGACGGAAGAGACAGAACCCACGGCCAGACUUUGGGAACACCUCUUCACAGGCAGCUCUGGAGGCACAGCGCCCCGCGUCGUGGUUUCUACCGAGGGGGCCUUUCUUCAGGCGACGCCCCGCGCCGUGGGGUUCCCAGCACUGACGGCGGGCCCGCUUACGGUACGCGUGACACGGCGGCGAGUCUCGAGAAAGGAAAGAGGAGGUCGUCGUCUUCUGUUUCAACUUCUUCUUCCUGCCGCAACGAUAUUCCCCCCCCCCCCCCCUGAGAGAGAGAAUCUGAAAGCAAAAGCAGGACACGUUUGCACGAGUACGUUUCUUUUCUCUGGUUUAGGUUUUACGUUUGACCUUUGGCCCCAUGAUUCAUGUGAAUCAUAACUAAAGAGGAAACUCACAUCUAGUUGUGUGUGUUCUGUUCGGUUUGAGAACACGUUUUGCAACUAUUUGUUACUGUAAAAACACACGUUUCACUUUGUUUUUCUUAUUUAUUGAUCUACUUCAAGAUCAUUUCACACAAUCAUCGUUAAUUUUUACAGCACGAAGAUAAUUUAAUAUCACCCUUCAACCUUUUAUCACAAAUAUAUUUCACCUUUUCCAAUCAAAUAAGAAGGGAGAUCCCCCCCCCGUUGAGCGUAUUCUGAGAGCAGGGACGAUAUUUUAACCUGAAAACAUCAGAAACGAAGAUUAGUUUAGUUUAGUUUUGUUUUGAAAGGGAACUCCUCCAUCGGAGAUCGACGACGAGAGACCAAGAACAUACACCACAUGCACAGUGCAUGAUGCUCAAUCUGAUUUAAUAAAUGUUUAAUAAAAACAUUGGAUCGAGUACUCGGACCGUUUGCUAGGACGCUUCAAAUUCAGCCCAUUUCUCCUGAUCAUGUUCAUGUUUUCAUUGUUCAUUUCAUUGUACUACCUGUUAUCCCCCGACUCCGUUCAAGUUGAAUUUACCUCCAUUCAAUAUUGUUUUGGAUGAUUCAUGUCAAAUGUGUUCACAAUCGUAUCACAUUUAGGAAUCCAAAUCGUAUUUUAACAUUUUAUUUAAAAACAUUUCAACAAUCCGCCACCAGGAGGCAGUGUGUCAGUGGAAUUAGAUAGCAGCUCCAAUAUUUCACCCCACACACAGUACAUGACCCUUUACCACAACUUAUCUUUAAGAUUAGAUUUUCCUUUUAAACUAAAGAUCUUUAAAAAAGUCAAACUGUUACAGGUACAAAAAUAAUUGCAUAAAAAGCACAUUAUUACAUUUACAGGGACGGGACUUCACAGCUUGAUUAUGGUUGUGUCUCGUAUUAUAAUCUGCCGUUCAGUUCACCAACAGGUGCCACAGGGUUUGUCUGGAUUAGAGCUGCAGGCCUGGAUCUGGGCCCUGGAGAGAGAGAGAGAGAGAGAUAUGAUAUGCAGUACAUGUGGCGACGUCCUCGAACACAGCAUCGUCUACGUAUACGUACUCGGCCACUUCCUUGCAUUCAUACGUAAUGUUUGGAUCCAGCUCCUUCUGCAAGUCCUUCAAAGAUGCAUUUGUGCAGUUUGUCCUGAAGAGGAAACAGAAAACACGAGUUCAGGAUCGAACAUCUCGGUAGUGAGUUUGUUCGACUCCCAGCGUUCCACAUUAACCACCGGAAAAUAUAAUGCUUUGAAGUUUUUUUGCGUAUGAGGAAAACCAAAAAUCUCACACAAAGUUCUUCUGUGUGACCAGAACGACCUUCAGGCUCUUCACCCGGGGAAAGUGGAACCGCUUCACCUCGUUGCUCGCAAAGACACUGACGGAGAAACAAAGAGAAAGAAAAGAAUAAAGAGAAAAGAAUAGGAGCUAAGGAUGCUUCAUGGACAUAACUCUCACCCAAUGUGACUUUUUAAUGAUGCUUAAAUGCUUGAUUAUUGGCCAUUAAAUGACAUCAAGCCACAACUACACACUAAGCUUUCCUUCACUAAUUUAUCACAUCAUUUUGGUUUGUUGGUUAAUGUGUAAAGUAUAUAGAAAACCUCAGAGAAUGAUUCUCUUGCUGCAGAGCGCCUUAUUCUCUAAUAAUCAAAGAAAUGUAGUUAGAAAACCAUGUUUACUACACCGUAUGUAAUCCACAAACUAAAUCCUAUAGGAAUGCAAAGAAAUGCAAUGUUUUGAUUGUUUUUUCGGGGCUGCAUGAGCCUCUGAAAAGAUCCGACUCACCUGGCGGGAUGGAACGGCGUGGCGAUGGAUCCGUUCAGCAUCGCCGAGACGUCGCCGCAGGCACCGUCUGCAAACUACACCGAGAUGCACUUUACAUUCACCCGACAAGACUCUUUUGCAAUGCAGACAUUUAGGAUUCAUGCAGCAGUGAACAUACAUUAUAUUACACGGCGUAUGUAAAUCAACUGGGUUCACCUGUCCUUGAAAUAGCUCAAAUAAACGGUCGAUAUUUAGGAGAAA